GAGAGUUUGAUCCUGGCUCAGGACGAACGCUGGCGGCGUGCCUAACACAUGCAAGUCGAACGGAGUAAAGCCCUUCGGGACUUUACUUAGUGGCGAACGGGUGAGUAACGCGUGAGGAACCUGCCUUUCAGUGGGGGACAACAGUUGGAAACGACUGCUAAUACCGCAUGACGCUUCUUGGGGGCAUCCCUGAGAAGUCAAAGAUUUAUUGCUGAAAGAUGGCCUCGCGUCUGAUUAGCUAGUUGGCGGGGUAACGGCCCACCAAGGCGACGAUCAGUAGCCGGUCUGAGAGGAUGAACGGCCACAUUGGGACUGAGAUACGGCCCAGACUCCUACGGGAGGCAGCAGUGGGGAAUAUUGGGCAAUGGGGGAAACCCUGACCCAGCAACGCCGCGUGAAGGAAGAAGGCCUUCGGGUUGUAAACUUCUUUUAGCAGGGACGAAGGACGUGACGGUACCUGCAGAAAAAGCAACGGCUAACUACGUGCCAGCAGCCGCGGUAAUACGUAGGUUGCAAGCGUUGUCCGGAAUUACUGGGUGUAAAGGGCGUGUAGGCGGAGCUGCAAGUCAGAUGUGAAAUCCCGGGGCUCAACCCCGGAACUGCAUUUGAAACUGUAGCCCUUGAGUAUCGGAGAGGCAAGCGGAAUUCCUAGUGUAGCGGUGAAAUGCGUAGAUAUUAGGAGGAACACCAGUGGCGAAGGCGGCUUGCUGGACGACAACUGACGCUGAGGCGCGAAAGCGUGGGGAGCAAACAGGAUUAGAUACCCUGGUAGUCCACGCUGUAAACGAUGAAUACUAGGUGUGGGAGGACUGACCCCUUCCGUGCCGCAGUUAACACAAUAAGUAUUCCACCUGGGGAGUACGACCGCAAGGUUGAAACUCAAAGGAAUUGACGGGGGCCCGCACAAGCAGUGGAUUAUGUGGUUUAAUUCGACGCAACGCGAAGAACCUUACCAGGAUUUGACAUCCAACUAACGAAGUAGAGAUACAUUAGGUACCCUUCGGGGGAAGUUGAGACAGGUGGUGCAUGGUUGUCGUCAGCUCGUGUCGUGAGAUGUUGGGUUAAGUCCCGCAACGAGCGCAACCCCUAUUGUUAGUUGCUACGAAAGAGCACUCUAGCGAGACUGCCGUUGACAAAACGGAGGAAG
This 1147-nucleotide ribosomal RNA is filed under the name uncultured Clostridia bacterium. RNAcentral's name for it is "bacterial SSU rRNA". It matches the Rfam family "Bacterial small subunit ribosomal RNA", at positions 8 to 1172 of the family's 1533-position model. The record is from RNAcentral. Lineage: Bacteria; Bacillati; Bacillota; Clostridia.